This is a non-coding RNA of Biomphalaria pfeifferi, 1265 nucleotides long. Lineage: Eukaryota; Metazoa; Mollusca; Gastropoda; Planorbidae. The record is from the annotation of a GenBank genome assembly.
AUAAUGAGUGAUAUGCAUUUAUUGCUAUUUACCACCAUUCACAGAGUCUAGUGAACCCAUGCCAACUGCUUCACAUCACAACCAUUCACUCCAACAAGGAAGGAAGAGAACAUACUACUACAGAGAAUUAUAACCAUUAUAAUGUCUAGGAGCUAGAAUCUUAACACUGAGCUAAGCUAAUCAUAGACACUCAACCCUAUCAAAGCAGUUCAAUAGUACAUCAAUGGGAAAAAAAAACAAAUAGGUCAUAUAAAUACUAUAUCAAUCAUUAGACAGGUCAUAUAAAUACUAGAUCAACAAUUAUUAGACAGGUCUUAUAAAUACUAGGUCAAUAAUCAUUAUGAGUUGAAUAAGUGAGCAUUUAAGCAUACAGAGCAUGUCUACAUUUGAAACAAAAUAUUUUAAAAAAUUGCAUCCUGUUCUAUGUACUAGGUAAACCUUAGCAUCAUACAAACUUUUAGAGCAUAAAUAUCAACAGUUUUACACUAGUGAAAUGAUCCGACCUUUAAUACACAAGAGCUAGAACUACCCCAAACAAAUGAUUAAGUUACACUGGGAUGCAUUGACUGCUAAAUGUUUUCCUUAGAUCUAGAAUCAAAGAGAUGCACGAGAUGCAAUAAUGACAGUCUAGUUAGCAUCAAGAUGAGACAAACACAGUGUCAGAAGUGAGACAACUACCAGAGUUGAGAACUAACACUCAAUCCCAAACUAGUGAAUAGACAUGAUUGACCACCACCCUCAGAUAACAUAGACAGUUAAAGUAUUAACUAGAUAUCUUUAUAACAAUAGCACACACAAAAACUAUAUACAUUUUCAUAUUCUAUUUUAGUACAUAAAUUCAAACAUAGAGCUUCAAUGAAUUCACUCAUAAGUGUUUGUAGCUAGAUCUAGUGUUUGUUCAAAGUUUCUCUUAGAGCAAGUUGAAAUUUAAGUUGCAAACAAACACAUCAGUGAAGAAAAAGGUCAAGGACACAAUUUAUUAAUAUCAGAAAAGGAACAAAUAAGAAAAAAAACAACAAGAAGCCUGGUAAAUAUCACAGAAAAUACUUUCUUCGAAGAGCCAUCAACUUUCUGAACCAACACAAAUUUACAUGCAAAGAAAAGAAAAAAAUAUAUAUAUAAAAUCUGCCACUGUAUAAUCUCCAAUGCAGAACUCAACAAGCUGACCUACCCAGACAUUGACAGAAACAAAGUUCAGAACUCAACAAGCUGACCUACCCAGACAUUGGCAGAAACAAAGUUCAGAACUCAACAAGCUGACCUAC